This is a long non-coding RNA of Teleopsis dalmanni, 446 nucleotides long. RefSeq lists it as uncharacterized. The record is from RefSeq and is a predicted model, not a curated record. The transcript has 3 exons. NCBI's taxonomy places the organism in Eukaryota, Metazoa, Arthropoda, Insecta, Diptera, Diopsidae.
UUAUUGCUAUCUCAGUUUAGGCAAUAGUGCUAAGUGGUGUGGAUAUUAUUGGCUUUCUGUUUGAAAGUCGCAAAAUUGUGGGAUGUGUGUGGUCGGUCGCACCUUUUCCAAAUUGACAAGAAGUGCAUAUGUUAAAAUCCACUAAAAUGCUAAUAAAUCAACAAAAAUAAAAUAAAUACUAUUAUUCCCGAGCAUAAAAUAUCAUAAAAGCCUAGUGAUUGAGAAAAUUUUUUAAAAAGGCCGCAUAAAUUGUUUAAGUUCCAUGUUUGUCACAAGGGUGUAAAAAUCAAGAGUAAUUCAGAAGAACAUAAGCAGCAGGGAGAAUCUUUUAACAGUAUUUCACAAGGUAAGUUCCAUUUAGUUUCGCUAACCAUAACAGCACAUACCAAAUUUUCAAUGACAAAUCAACAAAUGGACAAACCCUCCUCCCAUAUGACAUACAUAAG